Molecule: ribosomal RNA, 422 nt
Filed under: uncultured archaeon
Lineage: Archaea
Description: bacterial SSU rRNA
Rfam family: Archaeal small subunit ribosomal RNA
Source: RNAcentral
UCAGCCGCCGCGGUAAUACCAGCUCUCCGAGUGGUGUGGACGUUUAUUGGGCCUAAAGCAUCCGUAGCUGGCUGAACAAGUCCCCUGUUAAACCCACCGAUUUAAUCAUUGGCGUGCGGGGGAUACUGCUUGGCUAGGGGACGAGAGAGGCAGACGGUAUUCCCGGGGUAGGGGUGAAAUCCUAUAAUCCCGAGAAGACCACCAGUGGCGAAGGCUGUCUGCUAGAACGCGCCCGACGGUGAGGGAUGAAAGCUGGGGGAGCGAACCGGAUUAGAUACCCGGGUAGUCCCAGCUGUAAACGAUGCAGACUAGGUGUUUGGACGGCCACGUGCCGUUCUAGUGCCGCAGGGAAGCUGUUAAGUCUGCCGCCUGGGGAGUACGAUCGCAAGGUUGAAACUUAAAGGAAUUGGCGGGGGAGCACA